This 253-nucleotide ribosomal RNA is filed under the name uncultured bacterium. RNAcentral describes it as "partial 16S ribosomal RNA". It matches the Rfam family "Bacterial small subunit ribosomal RNA", at positions 524 to 776 of the family's 1533-position model. The record is from RNAcentral.
UACGUAGGGUGCGAGCGUUAAUCGGAAUUACUGGGCGUAAAGCGUGCGCAGGCGGUUUUGUAAGCCAGAUGUGAAAUCCCCGGGCUUAACCUGGGAAUGGCAUUUGGGACUGCAAGGCUGGAGUUUGGCAGAGGAGACUGGAAUUCCUGGUGUAGCGGUGAAAUGCGCAGAUAUCAGGAGGAACACCUAUUGCGAAGGCAGCUCGCUGGGACGUAACUGACGCUGAGACGCGAAAGCGUGGGGAGCAAACAGG